GCCCAGUGUGGUGGUGCACACCUGUGGUCCCAGCUACUCAGGAGGCUGAGGCGGGAGCAUUGCUUGAGCUCGGGAGUUCUGGGCUGUAGUGAGCUAUGCUGAUCCAGCGUCUACAUUAAUAUGAUGACCUCCCUGGACUGGGAGGACCACCAGGUUGCCUAAGGAGGGCUGAACCCGCCCAAGUCAGAGACGGAGCUGGUCAAAGCUCUCAUGCUGAUCUGUCCUGGGGUCACACCUGUGAAUAGCCACUGCACCCCAGCCUGGGCAACAGAGCAAGACUCUGUCCA
Molecule: unclassified non-coding RNA, 287 nt
Organism: Pan troglodytes (chimpanzee)
Lineage: Eukaryota; Metazoa; Chordata; Mammalia; Primates; Hominidae
Rfam family: Metazoan signal recognition particle RNA
About the family: The signal recognition particle (SRP) is a universally conserved ribonucleoprotein. It is involved in the co-translational targeting of proteins to membranes.
Source: Ensembl